Molecule: ribosomal RNA, 616 nt
Filed under: Cadophora fastigiata
Lineage: Eukaryota; Fungi; Ascomycota; Leotiomycetes; Helotiales; Ploettnerulaceae
Description: eukaryotic LSU rRNA
Rfam family: Eukaryotic large subunit ribosomal RNA
Source: RNAcentral
GCAUAUCAAUAAGCGGAGGAAAAGAAACCAACAGGGAUUGCCUCAGUAACGGCGAGUGAAGCGGCAACAGCUCAAAUUUGAAAUCUGGCCUCUUUGGGGUCCGAGUUGUAAUUUGUAGAGGAUGUUUCGGGUACCGCCUCGGUUUAAAUUUCUUGGAACAGAAUGUCAAAGAGGGUGAGAAUCCCGUCUUGGACCGGCGGUAGGGCCCAUGUGAAACUCCUUCGACGAGUCGAGUUGUUUGGGAAUGCAGCUCAAAAUGGGUGGUAAAUUUCAUCUAAAGCUAAAUAUUGGCCAGAGACCGAUAGCGCACAAGUAGAGUGAUCGAAAGAUGAAAAGCACUUUGAAAAGAGAGUUAAACAGUAUGUGAAAUUGUUGAAAGGGAAGCGCUUACAACCAGACUUGCGCGCGGCGGUUCCCCCUUCCUUUUGGUUGGGCUACUCCGUCGUGUCCAGGCCAACAUCGGUUCUGGGGGUCGGUUAAAGACCCUGGGAAUGUACCUACCCUUCGGGCGUAGACUUAUAGCCCAGGGUGUCAUGCGACCUCCCGGGACCGAGGAACGCGCUUCGGCUCAAAUGUUGGCGUAAUGGUUGUCACGACCCGUCUUGAAACACGGACC